Molecule: ribosomal RNA, 828 nt
Filed under: uncultured bacterium
Lineage: Bacteria
Description: bacterial SSU rRNA
Rfam family: Bacterial small subunit ribosomal RNA
Source: RNAcentral
AAGCUUAGUGGCGGACGGGUGAGUAACACGUGAGCAACCUGCCUAUCAGAGGGGGAUAACAGUUGGAAACGACUGCUAAUACCGCAUAACGUAACGGGACCGCAUGAUCCUGUUACCAAAGAUUUAUCGCUGAUAGAUGGGCUCGCGUCCGAUUAGAUAGUUGGUGAGGUAACGGCCCACCAAGUCGACGAUCGGUAGCCGGACUGAGAGGUCGAACGGCCACAUUGGGACUGAGACACGGCCCAGACUCCUACGGGAGGCAGCAGUGGGGGAUAUUGCACAAUGGGGGAAGCCCUGAUGCAGCGACGCCGCGUGAGGGAAGACGGUCCUCUGGAUUGUAAACCUCUGUCUUCAGGGACGAAACAAGACGGUACCUGAGGAGGAAGCCACGGCUAACUACGUGCCAGCAGCCGCGGUAAUACGUAGGUGGCAAGCGUUGUCCGGAAUUACUGGGUGUAAAGGGAGCGUAGGCGGGGGCGCAAGUCAGACGUUAAAUCCAUCGGCUCAACCGGUGGCUGCGUUUGAAACUGCAUCUCUUGAGUGAAGUAGAGGUUGGCGGAAUUCCUAGUGUAGCGGUGAAAUGCGUAGAUAUUAGGAGGAACACCAGUGGCGAAGGCGGCCAACUGGGCUUUUACUGACGCUGAGGCUCGAAAGUGUGGGGAGCAAACAGGAUUAGAUACCCUGGUAGUCCACACCGUAAACGAUGAUUACUAGGUGUGGGGGGACUGACCCCUUCCGUGCCGGAGUUAACACAAUAAGUAUUCCACCUGGGGAGUACGAUCGCAAGAUUGAAACUCAAAGGAAUUGACGGGGGCCCGCACAAGCAGU